RNAcentral lists this ribosomal RNA (468 nucleotides) under uncultured bacterium. Its description in RNAcentral is "partial 16S ribosomal RNA". It matches the Rfam family "Bacterial small subunit ribosomal RNA", at positions 28 to 507 of the family's 1533-position model. The record is from RNAcentral.
GACGAACGCUGGCGGCGUGCUUAACACAUGCAAGUCGAACGGAAAGGCCCUGCUUUUGUGGGGUGCUCGAGUGGCAAACGGGUGAGUAACACGUGAGUAACCUGCCCUUGACUUUGGGAUAACUUCAGGAAACUGGGGCUAAUACCGGAUAGGAGCUCCUGCUGCAUGGUGGGGGUUGGAAAGUUUCGGCGGUUGGGGAUGGACUCGCGGCUUAUCAGCUUGUUGGUGGGGUAGUGGCUUACCAAGGCUUUGACGGGUAGCCGGCCUGAGAGGGUGACCGGCCACAUUGGGACUGAGAUACGGCCCAGACUCCUACGGGAGGCAGCAGUGGGGAAUAUUGCACAAUGGGCGGAAGCCUGAUGCAGCAACGCCGCGUGCGGGAUGACGGCCUUCGGGUUGUAAACCGCUUUCGCCUGUGACGAAGCGUGAGUGACGGUAAUGGGUAAAGAGGCACCGGCUAACUACGUG